UACGGAGGGUGCGAGCGUUGUCCGGAAUCAUUGGGCGUAAAGGGCGCGUAGGCGGCUUGCCGAGUCAGGGGUGAAAUCUUUCGGCUUAACCGGAAAAGUGCUUCUGAUACUGGCAGGCUGGAGGGAGGUAGGGGCAGACGGAACUUCCGGUGGAGCGGUGAAAUGCGUAGAUAUCGGAAGGAACGCCGGUGGCGAAAGCGGUCUGCUGGACCUCUGCUGACGCUGAGGCGCGAAAGCCAGGGGAGCAAACGGG
Molecule: ribosomal RNA, 253 nt
Filed under: uncultured bacterium
Lineage: Bacteria
Description: partial 16S ribosomal RNA
Rfam family: Bacterial small subunit ribosomal RNA
Source: RNAcentral